UAUGGAGGGUGCAAGCGUUGUUCGGAAUCACUGGGCGUAAAGGGCGUGUAGGCGGUCCGCUAAGUCUGAUGUGAAAGCCCGAGGCUUACCCUCGGAAGUGCAUUGGAGACUGGCGGACUGGAGUCCCGGAGAGGAGGGUGGAAUUCCUGGUGUAGCGGUGGAAUGCGCAGAUAUCAGGAGGAACACCGAUGGCGAAGGCAGUUCUCUGGGCCGUAACUGACGCUGAGGAGCGAAAGCGUGGGGAGCGAACAGG
RNAcentral lists this ribosomal RNA (253 nucleotides) under uncultured bacterium. RNAcentral describes it as "partial 16S ribosomal RNA". It matches the Rfam family "Bacterial small subunit ribosomal RNA", at positions 524 to 776 of the family's 1533-position model. The record is from RNAcentral.